This 1809-nucleotide long non-coding RNA is filed under the name Olea europaea subsp. europaea. The record is from RNAcentral. Lineage: Eukaryota; Viridiplantae; Streptophyta; Magnoliopsida; Lamiales; Oleaceae.
UCUCGGUCCUUCUACUCUCGCGAGUCUGUAUUUGACCAUCGUGAUAUAUAUACAGUAGGUUAGCAACCGUCAACUCAAUUCGAUUCACUCAUUUUACACAUCUGAUUCAGUUCAUCCAUUUUGCAAAUCAGAUUCACAAUCAGAUUUUGCUUCCAUUUUAUUAUUUCCAGAUUAUUGCAAUCUAGUUGUGCCUGCCUGCCGAUCUUAAUUAGCUCGGUCCGUCUCAGGUGAAGACACACGCACACACACAAAUCAAGAUGAGGCUUCCGAUGGUUGAUUGCCGGAACUUGAUCGAGUUUUGCAGAACUUUUGAACAGCACAAGAACGGCUUCAAUUCCAAUUCACUGAGCGUUUCUCGCACCAAAAGGCAUCACCAUGAUUUUAGUAGUUCGCUAAACCCUUUCUCUCAUCAAUUUUGUAGUCGCUCUCCAUUCGCUGUCCUGGAAGUGAUUAUGCUUCUAAUAGCAAUCGGAUCUUUGGGAUUCUUGAUUGUUCCCUACUUUAAACUGAUCUUUUACGAUGGUCUGCCCAUACUUUUUGAUCUAAUUAUUGAUGCUGUAGAGAAUGCACCUGUGGCAUAUUUCAUGGGCUUGAUAUUUUUACUUCUUGGAGUCAUAUUCAUCGGUGUUGUUUGGGAAAUUAUUGAUAUGAGGUCGAGGAAAUGUGGGAAUCCACAUUGCAAGGGGUUACGAAGGGCAGUUGAAUACGAUAUUCAGUUGGAAUCAGAGGAAUGUGUCAAGUACUUGCCUGUUUCUGAUGCUUGUGACACUGAUAAUGGGGUGAAGCAGCUGGAAUUGGGACAGGAUCGGAAGGAACUGGAGGCGGAAUUAAAGAGGAUGGCGCCACUCAAUGGAAGGACCGUGUUGAUAUUUCGAGCACCAUGUGGAUGCCUUGCUGGCAGAUUGGAAGUUUGGGGGCCUAAGAAAAUUCGAAGAAUCAAAAAGUAAACAGGCUUGCCAUUUCGUUUUCUUUACCUUAGAUUAGGCAAGAAUAAUUAAGUAUGAGAUACAUCAAUCAUAUUCAGACUAGUUUUGCUGACUUUAUACAAUAAGUGAUGUGUUUCAGGGCUCUAGUAAUAAACAAAUUUGGUAUCCUAUGUAAUCUUGCUUCCACAUAUGGGAUGACCUUAUUUUUUAACAAUGAUAGUUAUUUAUAUCUACCAUCAAGUCCUUUAAUGCAUAUAAACAUCUGUCGUUUUCUGAUGGUUGAACUAUAUGUAGAAGUAUUUAGAGGACCUUUCUACUAAUUUUCAUUUUAUUCAUGCAUAGAUGAUAGAUCAUGUGUAUCUGUGACUUGUCAAAUUUUGUAAAACCUCUAUUCUAAGCAAAGAAAACUUUUGAGUAUCACACAAGGUAGGGAGCAGUGACAGCAAUAUUGAUCAAGUAGUUGUAUAUGGUAUUGCAAUGUAAGUAUGCCACCCUUAUAGGGAACACUCUCUCAUGCCAGAGAGGAGAUAUCCCGUGGUAUCAUGUGUGAGGAUCAGAAUCUGGUGAGGCUGUUUCUCCAAGCCAUCGAGCUCCAAAGCCCUGAGUAGUUCCCAGCUAUGAGUUACAAUGGCUACUGAUAGACUUCUCCUCCAGUAUUUGCAUAUGAAUUGCUUAAGGGUAUUGUUCCUCAUAAUCAUAGGAUGUGCUUUAGUGCUUUGCAUGGCUACUAUAUCACAAAGAAAGCUGGUUGUUUUUGUUCCAAUCAUUCUACGAUUAGCUUCUCCAUAUUGAAUAAUGAGAAUCAUGCCAGAGAGAAGAUAUCUCGUGGUGUCAUGUGUGAGGAUCAGAACAUGGUGAGGCUGUUUCUCCAAGCCAUCGAGCU